This 200-nucleotide ribosomal RNA is filed under the name uncultured bacterium. RNAcentral's name for it is "partial 16S ribosomal RNA". It matches the Rfam family "Bacterial small subunit ribosomal RNA", at positions 1300 to 1500 of the family's 1533-position model. The record is from RNAcentral.
GUAGUCUGNAACCCGACUACAUGAAGCUGGAAUCGCUGUAAUCGCAGGUCAGCAUACUGCGGUGAAUACGUUCCCGGGUCUUGUACACACCGCCCGUCACACCAUGAGAGUUGGAAAUACCCGAAGCCUGUGAGCUAACAGUAAUGAGGCAGCAGUCGAAGGUAGAGCCAAUGAUUGGGGUGAAGUCGUAACAAGGUACC